RNAcentral lists this transfer RNA (61 nucleotides) under Marinovum sp. Its description in RNAcentral is "tRNA-Asp". It matches the Rfam family "tRNA", at positions 7 to 64 of the family's 71-position model. Rfam says of the family: Transfer RNA (tRNA) molecules are approximately 80 nucleotides in length. Their secondary structure includes four short double-helical elements and three loops (D, anti-codon, and T loops). Further hydrogen bonds mediate the characteristic L-shaped molecular structure. tRNAs have two regions of fundamental functional importance: the anti-codon, which is responsible for specific mRNA codon recognition, and the 3' end, to which the tRNAs corresponding amino acid is attached (by aminoacyl-tRNA synthetases). tRNAs cope with the degeneracy of the genetic code in two manners: having more than one tRNA (with a specific anti-codon) for a particular amino acid; and 'wobble' base-pairing, i.e. permitting non-standard base-pairing at the 3rd anti-codon position. The record is from RNAcentral. Lineage: Bacteria; Pseudomonadati; Pseudomonadota; Alphaproteobacteria; Rhodobacterales; Roseobacteraceae.
GUAGCUCAGUUGGUUAGAGUGCCGGCCUGUCACGCCGGAGGUCGCGGGUUCAAGUCCCGUC